CGAAUGCUAUUUGGGAACUGGAUAGCGGAAGUGGCGAAAGGGGCAGUAAUACAUGGACAACCUACCCUGGGGUUGGGCAUAGCCGUUCUAACGAGCGGGUAAUUCCCAGAGAGUCGGCGAGGGGGCAUCUCUUUGCCGGGAAAGAAUUUCGCCUCGGGAGGGGUUCAUGAGCUAUCAGCUAGUUGGUGAGGUAACGGCUCACCAAGGCGUAGACGGCUAGCGGGUGUGAGAGCACGACCCGCGCCACUGGCACUGAGACACUGGCCAGACACCUACGGGUGGCUGCAGUCGAGGAUCUUCGUCAAUGGGCGCAAGCCUGAACGAGCGAUGCCGCGUGAGCGAUGAAGGCCUUCGGGUUGUAAAGCUCAAAAGAAGCGAGAAAGGGAAACUUGAUCAAGCUUCAGUAAGCUCGGGCUAAGUUCGUGCCAGCAGCCGCGGUAAGACGAACCGAGCGAACGUUGUUCGGAAUCACUGGGCUUAAAGGGCGCGUAGGCGGGUGCUCAAGUCCGGGGUGAAAUCCCACAGCUCAACUGUGGAACUGCCUCGGAUACUGGGUGUCUCGAGGGUGGUAGGGGUAUGCGGAACUAUCGGUGGAGCGGUGAAAUGCGUUGAUAUCGAUAGGAACUCCGGUGGCGAAGGCGGCAUACUGGACUACUUCUGACGCUGAGGCGCGAAAGCCAGGGGAGCAAACGGGAUUAGAUACCCCGGUAGUCCUGGCCCUAAACGAUGGGUACUAGCUAGUACGCUUCACAUGGGUUUACUGGCGAAGCAAAAGUGCUAA
Molecule: ribosomal RNA, 781 nt
Filed under: uncultured Planctomycetota bacterium
Lineage: Bacteria; Pseudomonadati; Planctomycetota
Description: bacterial SSU rRNA
Rfam family: Bacterial small subunit ribosomal RNA
Source: RNAcentral